RNAcentral lists this ribosomal RNA (253 nucleotides) under uncultured bacterium. Its description in RNAcentral is "partial 16S ribosomal RNA". It matches the Rfam family "Bacterial small subunit ribosomal RNA", at positions 524 to 776 of the family's 1533-position model. The record is from RNAcentral.
UACGUAGGGGGCUAGCGUUGUUCGGAUUUACUGGGCGUAAAGCGCUCGUAGGCGGAUUGUUAAGUCAGGGGUGAAAUCCCGGAGCUCAACUCCGGAACUGCCUUUGAUACUGGCAAUCUUGAGGCUGGAAGAGGUUAGUGGAAUUCCCAGUGUAGAGGUGAAAUUCGUAGAUAUUGGGAAGAACACCAGUGGCGAAGGCGGCUAACUGGUCCAGAUCUGACGCUGAGGUGCGAAAGCGUGGGGAGCAAACAGG